UACGAAGGGGGCUAGCGUUGUUCGGAAUUACUGGGCGUAAAGCGCACGUAGGCGGAUUGUUAAGUUAGGGGUGAAAUCCCAGGGCUCAACCCUGGAACUGCCUUUAAUACUGGCAAUCUCGAGUCCGAGAGAGGUGAGUGGAAUUCCGAGUGUAGAGGUGAAAUUCGUAGAUAUUCGGAGGAACACCAGUGGCGAAGGCGGCUCACUGGCUCGGUACUGACGCUGAGGUGCGAAAGCGUGGGGAGCAAGCAGG
This 253-nucleotide ribosomal RNA is filed under the name uncultured bacterium. RNAcentral's name for it is "partial 16S ribosomal RNA". It matches the Rfam family "Bacterial small subunit ribosomal RNA", at positions 524 to 776 of the family's 1533-position model. The record is from RNAcentral.